Molecule: ribosomal RNA, 542 nt
Filed under: Tretodictyum tubulosum
Lineage: Eukaryota; Metazoa; Porifera; Hexactinellida; Sceptrulophora; Tretodictyidae
Description: partial 16S ribosomal RNA
Rfam family: Archaeal large subunit ribosomal RNA (bases 1-230)
Source: RNAcentral
UUCGACUGUUUACCAAAAACAUAGCUACCAGAAAACAUUAUAGAUAGUGUCGCCUGCUCAAUGAUUAACCAUAACAAACAAAAGAUAAUUCAAUAGCUGUGGUAACACUUAACCACACAAAGGUAGCACAAUAAAUGGCCUACUAAUUACAGGAUCGCAUGAAGGCACCACGAAGUUAAAACUGUCUCAAAACCCAACAGAUAAAAUAGAAUGUGUGUGUAAAUCCACACUAAAACGGCAAGACGAUAAGACCCUAAGAACUUUACCCAAGACUUUAACUAACAAACAGAAACGCAAUAAACACACACCCACUAUUAAAAAAAAUAAAGCCAUAAGUUCCGUUGGGGCAACGGUCUCAAAAAAGUAACUAAGACUAAACAAAUCAUCACCUAAAAAAUAAGAUACCUAAAUCUACACCCAUAAAAAAGAAGAUAAGACCUAUUAAACAGAAAAAAUUAAUAAACAAAAAAUAAAAGCUCCUUAGGGAUAACAGCGUAAUAUUGCUACAAAAGAAGUUUUUCAAGCAAUGUUUGCGACCUCGA